CAGUAGCCGCGGGAAUACGUAGGUGGCAAGCGUUAUCCGGAAUUAUUGGGCGUAAAGCGCGCGUAGGCGGUUUCUUAAGUCUGAUGUGAAAGCCCACGGCUCAACCGUGGAGGGUCAUUGGAAACUGGGAAACUUGAGUGCAGAAGAGGAAAGUGGAAUUCCAUGUGUAGCGGUGAAAUGCGCAGAGAUAUGGAGGAACACCAGUGGCGAAGGCGACUUUCUGGUCUGUAACUGACGCUGAUGUGCGAAAGCGUGGGGAUCAAACAGGAUUAGAGACCCCCGUAGUCCCUGUCUCUUAUAC
This 301-nucleotide ribosomal RNA is filed under the name uncultured bacterium. RNAcentral's name for it is "partial 16S ribosomal RNA". It matches the Rfam family "Bacterial small subunit ribosomal RNA", at positions 509 to 807 of the family's 1533-position model. The record is from RNAcentral.